UACGUAGGUGGCAAGCGUUAUCCGGAAUUAUUGGGCGUAAAGCGCGCGUAGGCGGUAAAAUAAGUCUGAUGUGAAAGCCCCCGGCUCAACCGGGGAGGGUCAUUGGAAACUGUUUUACUUGAGUACAGAAGAGGAGAGUGGAAUUCCAUGUGUAGCGGUGAAAUGCGCAGAGAUAUGGAAGAACACCAGUGGCGAAGGCGACAUUCUGGUCUGUUACUGACACUGAGGCUCGAAAGCGUGGGGAGCAAACAGG
Molecule: ribosomal RNA, 253 nt
Filed under: uncultured bacterium
Lineage: Bacteria
Description: partial 16S ribosomal RNA
Rfam family: Bacterial small subunit ribosomal RNA
Source: RNAcentral